This 99-nucleotide non-coding RNA is filed under the name Arthrobacter sp. RNAcentral's name for it is "Glycine sequence". It matches the Rfam family "Glycine riboswitch aptamer". From Rfam's summary of the family: This family represents the bacterial glycine riboswitch. Glycine riboswitches usually consist of two metabolite-binding aptamers domains with similar structures in tandem. The aptamers cooperatively bind glycine to regulate the expression of downstream genes. Lineage: Bacteria; Bacillati; Actinomycetota; Actinomycetes; Micrococcales; Micrococcaceae. The record is from RNAcentral.
UGACCUGCGGCGGGAGAGUCCUGCCCGGUACAUUCAGCAGGCGCCGUAGGAGCAAACCCUCCCCAGGAAACUCUCAGGCCCCCGUACCGCCGCGGAAAG